AUUGAACGCUGGCGGCGUGCCUUACACAUGCAAGUCGAACGGCAGCACGGGAGCUUGCUCCUGGUGGCGAGUGGCGAACGGGUGAGUAAUACAUCGGAACGUACCCUGAAGUGGGGGAUAACGUAGCGAAAGUUACGCUAAUACCGCAUAUUCUGUGAGCAGGAAAGAGGGGGAUCGCAAGACCUCUUGCUUUAGGAGCGGCCGAUGUCGGAUUAGCUAGUUGGUGAGGUAAAGGCUCACCAAGGCGACGAUCCGUAGCGGGUCUGAGAGGAUGAUCCGCCACACUGGGACUGAGACACGGCCCAGACUCCUACGGGAGGCAGCAGUGGGGAAUUUUGGACAAUGGGCGCAAGCCUGAUCCAGCCAUGCCGCGUGAGUGAAGAAGGCC
Molecule: ribosomal RNA, 388 nt
Filed under: uncultured bacterium
Lineage: Bacteria
Description: bacterial SSU rRNA
Rfam family: Bacterial small subunit ribosomal RNA
Source: RNAcentral